UUCAUUUAUAUUUGGCGUAAAAAGCUAAUUGUAAGUUACUUGAAUUUCCAAAAAAAAAACCAAAAAGAGAAAAUUGCAUUAGUAGCUAUUUCUUGUUGACUUAAUAUGAUGUCAUAGCUGAAAGCCAGGUUACAGCCAAAAAUUUCACAAAUAUUUUUCAGACUAAAAUAUAUAGCACAAGUGUAGCCCAGAUUUUUUUUGUCACCAAUAAGAUAAUGCCAGUAUACUUAUUUUCUUCAUCUUAAUGUGAGUCAUAUUAAAAUAUUGUAAAUAAUUUAGCACUUUAUUAUAUUCCUUGUCA
RNAcentral lists this long non-coding RNA (301 nucleotides) under Mytilus galloprovincialis (Mediterranean mussel). The record is from RNAcentral. Lineage: Eukaryota; Metazoa; Mollusca; Bivalvia; Mytilida; Mytilidae.